This 959-nucleotide unclassified non-coding RNA is filed under the name Hevea brasiliensis (rubber tree). The record is from RNAcentral. Lineage: Eukaryota; Viridiplantae; Streptophyta; Magnoliopsida; Malpighiales; Euphorbiaceae.
UUCGCAGGCUUGGAGAGAUUCGAACUUUAGGCAUGCUGAGGUCCAGGUUCCAGUCUUUGCCCGGUGCUUUUAAUGCUUGUUUGAUACCAGAGGAGAAGAGUGAGCAACCUAAAAAGAAAGGACUAAAAGCAACAUUCUCUCGAAAUUUCGCCAGGGUGCCAUCCAACAAGGAAAAAGAAGCUGCAAGGUUUGCUCAAUUGUGGAAUAAAAUAAUCACAAGUUUUAGAGAGGAAGAUCUUAUUAGCAAUCGUGAGAUGGAUCUUUUGCUUGUUCCUUACUGGGCUGAUCGUGAGUUGGAUCUCGUGCAAUGGCCACCAUUUUUGCUUGCUAGCAAGAUUCCAAUAGCAGUGGAUAUGGCUAAGGAUAGCAACGGAAAGGACCGUGAGCUGAAAAAGAGGAUUGAGGCUGACCCAUAUAUGUCAUCUGCUGUUUGUGAGUGCUAUGCUUCAUUUCGCAAUGUGAUAAAAGUUUUGGUUUCAGGUCGUCGUGAGAAGGAGGUUAUAGAGUAUAUCUUCUCAGAAGUUGACAAGCAUAUUGAGGCUGGUAAUUUAAUUAGUGAGUACAAGAUGAGUUCUCUUCCCAGCCUGUAUGAUCUGUUUGUUAAGCUCAUAAAAUACUUGCUAGAAAAUAGGCAGGAGGACAGGGAUCAAGUUGUACUUCUAUUCCAAGACAUGCUGGAAGUUGUUACGCGAGAUAUAAUGAUGGAAGAUCAACUAUCAAGCUUGGUAGAUUCCAUCCAUGGAGCCCCAGGGUAUGAAGGAAUGAUCCCUCUUGAUCAGCAAUAUCAGUUAUUUGCUUCUGCUGGAGCUAUCAAAUUCCCCCCUCCUGAAUCAGAAGCUUGGAAAGAGAAGAUCAAAAGAUUGUAUUUGCUGCUUACAGUAAAGGAGUCUGCAAUGGAUGUACCAUCCAACUUAGAAGCUAGGAGGCGAAUAUCCUUCUUCUCCAAUUCAUUGUUCAUG